This 240-nucleotide unclassified non-coding RNA is filed under the name soil metagenome. RNAcentral describes it as "partial contains 5.8S ribosomal RNA, internal transcribed spacer 2, and large subunit ribosomal RNA". The record is from RNAcentral.
AACGCACGAGACCUGCGGACCUGCGGAGGGAUCAUUAAUGAGAAGCUGCCCCUCGUGGGUAGACCUCCCACCCUCUGUGAACUUACCUUUGUUGCUUUGGCAGGCCCGUCCUCUGGACCGCCGGCUUCGGCUGGCCCGUGCCUGCCAGAGGAUUCCAAGCCCUGUCUGUCAGUGUUGUCUGAGUCUAUAUGAAAUCGUUAAAACUUUUAACAAUGGAUCUCUAGAUCGGAAGAGCACACG